AUUUCUUACGUGGUGUAUUUUUGACCUGUCUGAGUUUCUUUCCUUCUUGUGUCCUAUGCUAUUUUGCUUGCUAUUUGUUGGCUGUCCUUUGUCAGCCAUUCAGGAGUUAUAAAAUGGAAGUUAGUGUUUCUACUCAAAUGCUUUGUGGAUGGAACUGAUAGGGUUAGCAUUGAUUUUUGGCAGCUUCUUUCAAGAAGAGUUAAGGUGAUAAAUGUGUUUCCAUGGCUUUGGACUUGCUUUUGGCAUCUUGGGCUAUUUCCCUGAUGUGUUUACCUGCUUCUGCCACUGAUCCAAAUUGCAGAACUUCUCAUUCGUCCUAAGACCUCCAGACGGCAUCCACCAGGGAACUGACUCUAAAAGGAACCAGACCAACAUUUUCCAGCCCCUUCACUCUGUAGCUACCUCUAUGUGAGGAAAGGAGAGAAAACGUUCAGGACAUCGUCAUGCAAAGUUCCAGUAGCAGUGACGCCUACACGGAAGACUUGGAACUGCAGAGGCUGGGGUCACCUCAGUGACAUCUGAUGCUGUCCAACCAGAAGUUCGAUUUUUGUUUUGGGGUGGUGGGGUGAGGAAGCACACUGUAUACUGAAGGACUAAAAUAAUUUCUUGUCUAC
Molecule: long non-coding RNA, 614 nt
Filed under: Equus asinus (donkey)
Lineage: Eukaryota; Metazoa; Chordata; Mammalia; Perissodactyla; Equidae
Description: lncRNA (ENSEASG00005029554.1)
Source: RNAcentral